This 520-nucleotide unclassified non-coding RNA is filed under the name uncultured Glomus. RNAcentral describes it as "SSU rRNA". It matches the Rfam family "Eukaryotic small subunit ribosomal RNA", at positions 569 to 1090 of the family's 1831-position model. Lineage: Eukaryota; Fungi; Glomeromycota; Glomeromycetes; Glomerales; Glomeraceae. The record is from RNAcentral.
GGCAGCCGCGGUAAUUCCAGCUCCAAUAGCGUAUAUUAAAGUUGUUGCAGUUAAAAGCUCGUAGUUGAAUUUCGGGAUCAAUGCGUCGGUCGUGCUUUCGGGUACGUACUGGUGUCAUUGGUUUCUCCUUUCUGACGAGCCGUGAUGUCAUUAAUUUGGUGUUACGGGUAGUUAGGACUGUUACUUUGAAAAAAUUAGAGUGUUUAAAGCAGGCAUUAGCUCGAAUACAUUAGCAUGGAAUAAUGAAAUAGGACGUUCGAUCCUAUUUUGUUGGUUUCUAGAAUCAACGUAAUGAUUAAUAGGGAUAGUUGGGGGCAUUAGUAUUCAAUUGUCAGAGGUGAAAUUCUUGGAUUUAUUGAAGACUAACUACUGCGAAAGCAUUUGCCAAGGAUGUUUUCAUUAAUCAAGAACGAAAGUUAGGGGAUCGAAGACGAUCAGAUACCGUCGUAGUCCUAACCAUAAACUAUGCCGACUAGGGAUCGGAUGAUGUUAAUUUUUUAAUGACUCAUUCGGCGCCUUA